Molecule: transfer RNA, 73 nt
Filed under: Anopheles funestus (African malaria mosquito)
Lineage: Eukaryota; Metazoa; Arthropoda; Insecta; Diptera; Culicidae
Description: tRNA-Ser for anticodon CGA
Rfam family: tRNA
About the family: Transfer RNA (tRNA) molecules are approximately 80 nucleotides in length. Their secondary structure includes four short double-helical elements and three loops (D, anti-codon, and T loops). Further hydrogen bonds mediate the characteristic L-shaped molecular structure. tRNAs have two regions of fundamental functional importance: the anti-codon, which is responsible for specific mRNA codon recognition, and the 3' end, to which the tRNAs corresponding amino acid is attached (by aminoacyl-tRNA synthetases). tRNAs cope with the degeneracy of the genetic code in two manners: having more than one tRNA (with a specific anti-codon) for a particular amino acid; and 'wobble' base-pairing, i.e. permitting non-standard base-pairing at the 3rd anti-codon position.
Source: RNAcentral
UGCUCGUUGGUCUAGUGGUAUGGAUACUCGCUUCGAGAGCGAGAGGACCCAGGUUCAAUUCCUGGACGGGCGC